UGGGGAAUUUUGGACAAUGGGGGCAACCCUGAUCCAGCCAUGCCGCGUGAGUGAAGAAGGCCUUCGGGUUGUAAAGCUCUUUCGGCCGGGAAGAAAUCCUAUUCGAUAAUACCGGGUGGGGAUGACGGUACCGGCAUAAGAAGCACCGGCUAACUACGUGCCAGCAGCCGCGGUAAUACGUAGGGUGCGAGCGUUAAUCGGAAUUACUGGGCGUAAAGCGUGCGCAGGCGGUCUUUUAAGCCAGAUGUGAAAUCCCCGGGCUUAACCUGGGAACUGCGUUUGGAACUGGAAGGAUAGAGUACGGCAGAGGGGGGUGGAAUUCCACGUGUAGCAGUGAAAUGCGUAGAGAUGUGGAGGAACACCGAUGGCUAAGGCAGCCCCCUGGGCCUGUACUGACGCUCAGGCACGAAAGCGUGGGGAGCAAACAG
This 428-nucleotide ribosomal RNA is filed under the name uncultured bacterium. RNAcentral's name for it is "bacterial SSU rRNA". It matches the Rfam family "Bacterial small subunit ribosomal RNA", at positions 355 to 775 of the family's 1533-position model. The record is from RNAcentral.